GGGGCGUUAGCUAAGUGGUAUAGCGUUGCCUUCGCAAGGCAAAGGUCCAGGGUUCAAUCCCCUGACGCUCCA
RNAcentral lists this transfer RNA (72 nucleotides) under Pseudozyma flocculosa PF-1. RNAcentral's name for it is "tRNA-Ala (CGC) (tRNA-Ala-CGC-2-1)". It matches the Rfam family "tRNA". From Rfam's summary of the family: Transfer RNA (tRNA) molecules are approximately 80 nucleotides in length. Their secondary structure includes four short double-helical elements and three loops (D, anti-codon, and T loops). Further hydrogen bonds mediate the characteristic L-shaped molecular structure. tRNAs have two regions of fundamental functional importance: the anti-codon, which is responsible for specific mRNA codon recognition, and the 3' end, to which the tRNAs corresponding amino acid is attached (by aminoacyl-tRNA synthetases). tRNAs cope with the degeneracy of the genetic code in two manners: having more than one tRNA (with a specific anti-codon) for a particular amino acid; and 'wobble' base-pairing, i.e. permitting non-standard base-pairing at the 3rd anti-codon position. The record is from RNAcentral. Lineage: Eukaryota; Fungi; Basidiomycota; Ustilaginomycetes; Ustilaginales; Ustilaginaceae.